AAAAAGGAAUUCCAUGAUUGUGUUGAAAAUUUUAGUUGAAUGUUGAUUGUUGAAGUUGAUGGUACUUAUAUAGUGAAAGAUCUUUUUAAGCUUUUAACUUCAGUGUUGUCUUAUUUGACCAACUUUGACAACUCUCAUAAAACACAAGCAAAUUGUGGAUUGGACAAAUGCAAAUGCAAGAUACGAGUCCUUAAGACAUUAUGGACUUCCAAAUAUGCGAAGUGAGAUUCUCAGACAAUGAUACUAGCUUAGUUAUCAUGAAUUCAUGACUAUGCCUAGGAGAGUGCAUAAAAAGCUAUAAUUUGCUGCUUAUAGAAAUAAAAACUUUGAAUCCUUUAGAAUCUAGAAUGCCAUGGAACAUUA
This 363-nucleotide unclassified non-coding RNA is filed under the name Hevea brasiliensis (rubber tree). Lineage: Eukaryota; Viridiplantae; Streptophyta; Magnoliopsida; Malpighiales; Euphorbiaceae. The record is from RNAcentral.